CCCGCCACUGCACCUGACCACUUCUCUGAUGGCUGGUGCAAUGCAGUGGUGGGCUGAAACUAAGGCCCAGUUUAAAAAACACAUUGUUAUUCUUCAUAUGGAUGACUGUGCUGAACGCAUGGGCACAACC
Myotis lucifugus (little brown bat) is the source of this 130-nucleotide small nucleolar RNA. Ensembl annotates it as small nucleolar RNA SNORA65. The record is from Ensembl. NCBI's taxonomy places the organism in Eukaryota, Metazoa, Chordata, Mammalia, Chiroptera, Vespertilionidae.